GACGAACGCUGGCGGCGUGCUUAACACAUGCAAGUCGAACGGAGUGGCGAGCGGGUGAGUAACACGUGGGUGACCUGCCCUGCACUUCGGGAUAAGCCUGGGAAACUGGGUCUAAUACCGGAUAGUGUGGGAUGGGCCCGCGGCCUAUCAGCUUGUUGGUGGGGUAAUGGCCUACCAAGGCGGCGACGGGUAGCCGGCCUGAGGAGGGGGACGGCCACCAGGGGCCUGAGACACGGCCCAGACUGCUACGGGAGGCAGCAGUCGGGAAUAUUGCACAGUCGGCGGAAGCCUGAUGCAGCGACGCUGCGUGGGGGAUGACGGCCUUCUGGUUGUAAACGCCUUUCACCAUAUACGCGGUAGAUGGAGAAGAAGCACCGGCUAACUACGUGCCAGCAGCCGCGGUAAUUC
RNAcentral lists this ribosomal RNA (408 nucleotides) under uncultured bacterium. Its description in RNAcentral is "partial 16S ribosomal RNA". It matches the Rfam family "Bacterial small subunit ribosomal RNA", at positions 28 to 526 of the family's 1533-position model. The record is from RNAcentral.